CCUACGGGAGGCAGCAGUGGGGAAUCUUGCGCAAUGGGCGAAAGCCUGACGCAGCAACGCCGCGUGCGGGAAGAAGGCUUUCGGGCUGUAAACCGCUUUCAGCAGGAACGAAAAUGACGGUACCUGCAGAAGAAGGAGCGGCCAACUAUGUGCCAGCAGCCGCGGUGAUACAUAGGCUUCAAGCGUUGUCCGGAUUUAUUGGGCGUAAAGAGUUCGUAGGCGGUCAAGUAAGUCGGGUGUGAAAAUUCUGGGCUCAACCCAGAGACGCCACCCGAUACUGCUUAACUUGAGUUCGAUAGGGGAGUGGGGAAUUCCUAGUGUAGCGGUGAAAUGCGCAGAUAUUAGGAGGAACACCGGUGGCGAAGGCGCCACUCUGGAUCGAUACUGACGCUGAGGAACGAAAGCAUGGGUAGCAAACAGGAUUAGAUACCCUGGUAGUCCAUGCCGUAAACGGUGGGCACUAGGUGUGGGUUUCUAUUAACGAAAUCCGAGCCGUCGCUAACGCAUUAAGUGCCCCGCUCGGGGGAGUACGGUCGCAGACUAAACUACAAAGAUAGAGCGNGNGAGNGCGACGACGACGACGACGGAGGAG
RNAcentral lists this ribosomal RNA (592 nucleotides) under uncultured bacterium. RNAcentral describes it as "bacterial SSU rRNA". It matches the Rfam family "Bacterial small subunit ribosomal RNA", at positions 338 to 946 of the family's 1533-position model. The record is from RNAcentral.